This is a long non-coding RNA of Gorilla gorilla gorilla (western lowland gorilla), 3200 nucleotides long. RefSeq lists it as uncharacterized. Lineage: Eukaryota; Metazoa; Chordata; Mammalia; Primates; Hominidae. The record is from RefSeq and is a predicted model, not a curated record. The transcript is spliced from 3 exons.
GCUCUCCGGACCAUCUCUUUUAUGGGCUGCCGAGCAAAGGUCUUUCUCUUCUUCAAAACCCACUCUACGAGGAAAUCUCCAGAAACAUUCCAGCAGGCAAGACAAGGGCAUAAAGGCCAGGGGGUCCCCCAGCCUCAGGACAGCAAGUGUGGGGACGUGCCCUACUGCAUGCCCCAUCCCCUGAGCCAGGAACAAAGACCAGAGGUCAAGCCGGCAGCAGUUGAGGAAGAGGGUCAGGCGUGGCUGUGUGUCCCGAAUUGGUGGGUUCUUGGUCUCACUGACUUCAAGAAUGAAGCCGCGGACCCUUGCGGACUACCCAGGCAGGGGGAGCUGCCUUCACUCACCCUUUCCCACUACUGCUUCCAGAAACAUCUCCCCAUCACUACACUAGGGGCUUUGUAAGCACAGAUGUGGGACCCAUGAGUACUACAGAAGGAAGCAGAAGCUGCAAAGACCUUGAUGGAGUUUCCCUCUCGUUGCCCAAGCUGGAGUGCAAUGGCGCAAUCUCGGCUCACUGCAACCUCCACCUCCCAGGUUCAAGUGAUUCUCCUGCCUCAGCCUCCCUAGUAGCUGGGAUUACAGGCGUGCAGCACCACGCCUGGCUAAUUUUGUGUUUUUAGCAGAGAGGGGUUUCUCCAUGUUGGUCAGGCUGGUCUCGAACUCCCGACCUCAGGUGAUCUGCCCGCCUUGGCCUCCCAAAGUGCUGGGAUUACAGGCGUGAGCCACUGCACCCGGCCUGAUUCUGACCUUUUUAUUCCACACAUCUCAACUGUUGCUGAGCUGUUUCAUUCUAGGAGGCAAAGAGCUUUUCUGGUUGUUCCUGAGAUCACCAGCCUGAAUCUCCUUUCUUGAGCACCCAGCAGUUUCUUUUCCAAGAGUAUGGGAAUCUUGAAAGGGCAGCAGAUUCUUAGGCAUGGGCGGGGAGAGCUGCUAGAAGACAUCACUGUCAAAGAAUUGGCAAAGUCAAGAAUGUGCCAGCAUCCAAGGGUCAAAACGUCAGGUGGGACAUCCUGUUCCACAGCACGAUAGCCCCAGAGGGGGUGCCAAAAGGAUGACAGAAGCCUUGUGAGUGCCCAGGAAUCAAGUAGAGAUUAGGACCAACCCAUCAGAGUGCAAUUAAGCAAAAGGGGGAAUCAAUUUAAAGGUGCCAGAACAGGAACCAUGCAACCAGGCUUCAGGGGAAAGUAGGAACCAGGGUCCUGAACUUCAUUCAUCAGGGUCCUCUCUCUCUCUUUUUUAAGACAAGGUGACACUCUGUCACCCAGGCUGGAGUGCAGUGGCACGAUCUUGGCUCACUGCUGCCUCAGCCUCUCAGGUGUUCCUCACCUCAGCCUCCCUAGUAGCUGAGACUACAGGCACAUACCACUAGGCCCAGCUAAUUUUUGUUUGUAGAGACAGCAUUUUGCCAUGUUGCAUAGGCUGGCUUCAAACUCCUAGGCUCAAAUGAUCCAGCCACCUCAGGCCCCCAAAGUGUUAGGCUUACAGGUGUGAGCCAUCUGGCUGGAGGGACUUCUAUCUCUUAUCUCUUCUCUUCCUCCACCCACUUUCUCCUAUAUCCUCCCCCACCUCCAGGUUUCUCUGGCCCUUCCGACAGCAAGUAUCGCCAGGAGCAGCUCCCUAAUCUACAUACUACAGAUAUAUCCACAAGAAGACAGAUGGAACCACUCUUUUCUUCUGAAUUCUAGAGCCUUAAGGAAGUUAACCUGAGUGGCUCAGCUUGGAUCAAGUGCCCAUCCUGGUCCAAACAACUGUAGCAGCACAUCUGUGUAUUUGUGUAUCUUGUUCCUCCAUAAUCUUGCAGUCCGGGGAAAGUGUGCAGAUGGAUGGGUCCCUGAAAAGCAAGAGUUGUUUAGACAACGCUAGAGGUGUUCAGUUCUGGGAGACAAGAGUUGGGCCAGGUUGAUAACUAGCCUAAGAGAGUCGGAAUCAGAUGAAUAAGAACUAGAUCUUGGGUGACAACCUAGAUCAAGAGUCUCGAGGUUCAGUCAUUUCAAAAAGCUCAAGUCUCAUUGCUUCUUGGCCUUCUGGCUAAGAUCAUGUGCAGUAUCUGUUCUUACCAGUUUAAUAUCUGAUACAUCUUCUAUCUGAGGAUAAUAUAAUAAAUAGAUUUUUGGAGCAAGGAGAUGGAAUAGGAGCUUGCUCUGUCCACUCUACACAUUGGCCUGGAUUGCAGUACCUCCAGGAAUGGUGCACCCUCUCUACCACCCCCAAAAAGCCCAAGUCUCAAGAGGUAGUCUGGAAAAAAGUGUUUUUGGAUUUACCUACACUUUUUUUUCCAAGAUGGAGUCUCGCUCUGUCACCCAGGCUGGAGUGCAGUGGCGCCAUCUCAGCUCACUGUAACCUCUACCUCCAGGAUUCAAGCAGUUCUCCUGCCUCAGUCUCCCAAGUAGCUGGGAUUACAGGUGUGUGCCAACCAUGCUCAGCUAAUUUUUGUAUUUUUAGUAGAGACAGGGUUUCACCAUGUUGGCCAGGCAGGUCUCGAAGUCCUGACCUCAGGUGAUCUUCCUGCCUUGGCCUCCCAAAGUGCUAAGAUUACAGGCGUGAGCCACUGCACCCAGCCUAAUUUUUGUAAUUUUAGUAGAGACGAGUUUUCACCAUGUUGACCAGGCUGGUCUCGAACUCCUGACCUCAGGUGAUCCACCCCCGCCCUUGGCCUCCCAAAGUGCUGGCACUACAGGCAUGAGCCACCGCUCCUGGCCGGGUUUGCCUACAUUUUGGAGAUGCUGCACACCACGUCCCUCUUUUCAAGAGUCACAUAAGUAUUUACAUAUGGAAGACCCUGAGAAGGCACCUGGGAAAAAACCUGUUUAACUGUAAAUAUAAUAAUGUAUGUAUUUGUAUGUGGAGCUCUUCUUUUAGUGGAUUAUCUAUAAACCGUCCACUGUUCCCAAUGCAUACUUUGGAGACAGACCUACACUACCAGUUUUCACCUGCUAGUUAUUUUUAUAAGGGUUGGGAUGGUCCAUGAGUGAACAGUCUUGAUUUAAAGCAGUGUUUCCCAAACCUCAUUUAUUUGCCUAUAACCUUCCUGGAGUUUGUCUUAUAUGUGCGCUCUGUGCACUAUUCAUAUAUGUUUUUAUGUAAAUCAAUCACUUUUUUAAAAAGCCUCAUCCCAGUUAUAUCCUUAAAACAAUGGUUAUUUUUUCUCAUACAUAUGGAAAUACAUAUCUAUUAGAAUUAAAAUGCUUGUCCAUGCACUA